This is a long non-coding RNA of Ceratitis capitata (Mediterranean fruit fly), 2512 nucleotides long. RefSeq lists it as uncharacterized. The transcript is spliced from 3 exons. Lineage: Eukaryota; Metazoa; Arthropoda; Insecta; Diptera; Tephritidae. The record is from RefSeq and is a predicted model, not a curated record.
AAAAACCUGUCAGUUAAGCUAAUUAUUGCUGAAGUCUGUUAUUAUAUCAAAAUGUCAUUUGAGAAUUGUGUAAAAUUUUAUGUAAAACACAAUUUUACACGCGCGCACACAUACACACGCACAGUAGUUACUGCACAUGCCCGAGAAAUUAAUUCAAUUGAAGUGAAAAUCUAGAGCGAAAUACCAUUUCAUAGAUUAAAUUCCAUUUGCAGGUCGUGAAAAUGUAGGAAGCCGUGUCGUGCGUACUAUGUGCGUACAUGUAUGUGUGCGUGCGGUUGUUCUCGACCUCCCCAAUGGUGAUUGCUUGUAAUGAAUUGUAAGCAUGUGUUAGAUGAUUGAAGUAACAACAACAAUAACAUGAACAACAAUUCGAGUAGUAAAAUUGGAAAGAAUAGCAGAAAUUCGAAACAAUAGCGUCAGCAAUAACAACAACAACAACAACAACAACAACAGGAACAGUACCAAGAAGAAGAAGAAUAUAAAUUGAGCUACAAUGUGUGGCAGCAGACAAUGAAGUAUACUUUCGUGCAUAUUUUCGCCCAACAAGCAAACAACACGUACAAAACAUCAAAAUUGUUUGUAAAAUGAGUGUAGCAGAGCCGAUGCGGUUUCCUCAAUGGACGUGCGGAGGACGUCUGGUGGUUCUAAGGGGUUGUAGACGGCCAAACCAACCAAUAAUUGAGCCUAUACAAAUAAAUUGAGAAAAGUUCAAUAAAUGAAAUGAACUGCCAGUACGGGUAAGGUGAAAGAGUGACGGGCAGUUGGUAAAAAGGAAGGCAGUGAACUGUGCGGCAGAGUUCAGCAAACAUUCAUUGUUGGUGAAGGAUAGUCAUACCAAAGGAAGGGAGGGGUACGAAGGUGGAGUGGAGGAUUGCCAAAACAAAAGCGAAAGUGUUUUCCAAUCAGUUUGUUGGAUACUGAGAGCCAUUGUCGACCGCACUGUUGUUUAACACAAAAAUAUUGUAGAAACAGUAACAGAAGGGGUAGACGCAGCAGCGCUGGAAAAAUCAAAUAAACGCAAACUACGAAUACUUCAGCCGAGACAGCCUGUAAACAGCGCUUGUGAAGUUGGAAGGAAUAAUAAAAGUAAACAACAACUACAACAACAAUAACAAAGUGUUUAUUGCUUACAGUGUUACAGUAAGCAAUUGUUAAGCAGGAAUAUUGGUUGAUGAACGCUAAAAAAAAAUUAAAGAAUAAGAAGAAGAUGGAGAAAAGAAGUGAGAGUGUGGUGCGUAGGAAAGAUAUAACGGAAGCUGUGUACAAAGUGUAGCACAAAAAACUGGAUCUGCGAAGGCGGACGCAUGUAAGCUUCAUCAAUUUUAUGCCACACGCGUAUUUGCCACACAAAAAAAGCAUAACAGCAACAACAAGUGUAAUCAAAUGUAAACAAAAGCGUCACAUAAUGCAUACGGAAAUACGCGCACGCACAUAAAAACCCGUUAGCCCCAGCUGCCAACUCUUACCCCCUUGCAACACCCCCACAUAUAUGCACACACACACACACACAAUAAACAAAUAUUUUUCGCAGCUAUUCAAUCGACGUAUGGCUGCCUCACGUGAAUAUUUUUGAUGAAAUGCUGAAGAAGAAGAAAAGGAAACAAAACAACAUGAGAAAGACCGCAACAAGCUGCGCACAACCAUAACCACAAAAACGCACGCAUGCAACAAUGUAAAUAUUCUAAGCAAUAGAAUUAGAAGAUAUGCAUGCGUUCGAAGAAAAUGAAAAAUUCAUAAUAAAAAAAAAAUAAAAGAGAAAUAAAAUACUUUGUGGUUUCGCGCGCAGCUGUUCGUGGCCAAACUAAGAAGGCGGAAGUUGCGGAAACGCUUGUUAUUGCCACAGCCAUUAAGUUGCACUAGGAAAUUUUUGGCACAGAUUUCGGCAUCUGGCAUGAAGCUCAAGGGGCACAAGUGUGCAGAAAGCACUGAUUGUAAAUGAAUGGUGGACUGGCCGAUAAAUUAUGAUUAAAUAGAACCUUUGGCAGCAAAUAAAUUAUAGUAUAAAUGUGCGUUGAUGAUUAUUCCGAAAUAAAUAGCCUUCUAUUGUUGUUUGACUGUAGUACAAAAAAAAAAAAAUUAAAAAAAAUCAUGAAAGUUUAUGGCCUAUAACAAAAGCCUUCUGAGAACUCUGGAGGAUUUUUGCUAGAAAACGCCUAUAUGUAGGCCACGUUUAUAAUUUUUUGGCAUAUCACAGAUUUAGAAGAAGAGGGCGUUAGAUUUCUCAAGCUUACUAAUGAAUUAAGUUCGGCGCUAAUUUGAUUCUUAGCUGACACUUGCCGCAAUUUUAAAAUAAAUGGUUAAAAGUCUGCAAUUUGUAUUGAUUGGUUGUUCAUAAUUACCUUAAAUUUUAUUUGCUGUAUAGCUACUGGCAGCAAAGGUCCUAUGUAAAGGUAACAUCCGUCAUAUUUUAUAUCUGUGAUUUUCCAGAAUCCUUUACACCUAUUAUUAUGCUACGGUUUAUCGUGCUUCCCUAAGCCAUGAAAGAACACACGCAACAGUAUAAAGUGUAUCA